This 439-nucleotide ribosomal RNA is filed under the name uncultured bacterium. RNAcentral's name for it is "bacterial SSU rRNA". It matches the Rfam family "Bacterial small subunit ribosomal RNA", at positions 338 to 774 of the family's 1533-position model. The record is from RNAcentral.
CCUACGGGAGGCAGCAGUGAGGAAUAUUGGUCAAUGGACGAGAGUCUGAACCAGCCAAGUAGCGUGAAGGAUGACUGCCCUAUGGGUUGUAAACUUCUUUUAUAAAGGAAUAAAACGAGGCACGUGUGCCUUUUUGCAUGUACUUUAUGAAUAAGGAUCGGCUAACUCCGUGCCAGCAGCCGCGGUAAUACGGAGGAUCCGAGCGUUAUCCGGAUUUAUUGGGUUUAAAGGGAGCGUAGAUGGGUUGUUAAGUCAGUUGUGAAAGUUUGCGGCUCAACCGUAAAAUUGCAAUUGAUACUGGCAGUCUUGAGUACAGUUGAGGUAGGCGGAAUUCGUGGUGUAGCGGUGAAAUGCUUAGAUAUCACGAAGAACCCCGAUUGCGAAGGCAGCUUACUAAACUGUGACUGACAUUGAUGCUCGAAAGUGUGGGUAUCAAACA